RNAcentral lists this ribosomal RNA (652 nucleotides) under uncultured Mollicutes bacterium. RNAcentral describes it as "bacterial SSU rRNA". It matches the Rfam family "Bacterial small subunit ribosomal RNA", at positions 68 to 704 of the family's 1533-position model. The record is from RNAcentral. Lineage: Bacteria; Bacillati; Mycoplasmatota; Mollicutes.
UCUCUAGGAAGCUUGCUUCCAAAGAGACUUAGUGGCGAACGGGUGAGUAACACGUAGGUAACCUGCCCAUGUGUCCGGGAUAACUGCUGGAAACGGUAGCUAAAACCGGAUAGGUAUACAGAGCGCAUGCUCAGUAUAUUAAAGCGCCCAUCAAGGCGUGAACAUGGAUGGACCUGCGGCGCAUUAGCUAGUUGGUGAGGUAACGGCCCACCAAGGCAAUGAUGCGUAGCCGGCCUGAGAGGGUAAACGGCCACAUUGGGACUGAGACACGGCCCAAACUCCUACGGGAGGCAGCAGUAGGGAAUUUUCGUCAAUGGGGGAAACCCUGAACGAGCAAUGCCGCGUGAGUGAAGAAGGUCUUCGGAUCGUAAAGCUCUGUUGUAAGUGAAGAACGGCUCAUAGAGGAAAUGCUAUGGGAGUGACGGUAGCUUACCAGAAAGCCACGGCUAACUACGUGCCAGCAGCCGCGGUAAUACGUAGGUGGCAAGCGUUAUCCGGAAUCAUUGGGCGUAAAGGGUGCGUAGGUGGCGUACUAAGUCUGUAGUAAAAGGCAAUGGCUCAACCAUUGUAAGCUAUGGAAACUGGUAUGCUGGAGUGCAGAAGAGGGCGAUGGAAUUCCAUGUGUAGCGGUAAAUGCGUAGAUAUAUGGAGG